GCUAGUUGGAACGAUGAAUCCUUUUCGGGGUGGAUUAGUGGCGAACGGGUGAGUAACACGUGGGCAAUCUGCCCUUCACUCUGGGACAAGCCCUGGAAACGGGGUCUAAUACCGGAUAACACUUCUGCCUGCAUGGGUGGGGGUUAAAAGCUCCGGCGGUGAAGGAUGAGCCCGCGGCCUAUCAGCUUGUUGGUGGGGUAAUGGCCUACCAAGGCGACGACGGGUAGCCGGCCUGAGAGGGCGACCGGCCACACUGGGACUGAGACACGGCCCAGACUCCUACGGGAGGCAGCAGUGGGGAAUAUUGCACAAUGGGCGAAAGCCUGAUGCAGCGACGCCGCGUGAGGGAUGACGGCCUUCGGGUUGUAAACCUCUUUCAGCAGGGAAGAAGCGCAAGUGACGGUACCUGCAGAAGAAGCGCCGGCUAACUACGUGCCAGCAGCCGCGGUAAUACGUAGGGCGCAAGCGUUGUCCGGAAUUAUUGGGCGUAAAGAGCUCGUAGGCGGCUUGUCACGUCGGAUGUGAAAGCCCGGGGCUUAACCCCGGGUCUGCAUUCGAUACGGGCUAGCUAGAGUGUGGUAGGGGAGAUCGGAAUUCCUGGUGUAGCGGUGAAAUGCGCAGAUAUCAGGAGGAACACCGGUGGCGAAGGCGGAUCUCUGGGCCAUUACUGACGCUGAGGAGCGAAAGCGUGGGGAGCGA
This 699-nucleotide ribosomal RNA is filed under the name Streptomyces sp. Its description in RNAcentral is "bacterial SSU rRNA". It matches the Rfam family "Bacterial small subunit ribosomal RNA", at positions 57 to 771 of the family's 1533-position model. Lineage: Bacteria; Bacillati; Actinomycetota; Actinomycetes; Kitasatosporales; Streptomycetaceae. The record is from RNAcentral.